AGAGAAAAUUUUAAAGUUACUGCUAAUAAUUUUUUGUCAAUUUGUUUUGACUUUCUCUU
Molecule: transfer RNA, 59 nt
Filed under: Mesocestoides corti
Lineage: Eukaryota; Metazoa; Platyhelminthes; Cestoda; Cyclophyllidea; Mesocestoididae
Also listed under: 1 other name
Description: tRNA-Ser
Source: RNAcentral